UUUGUGCUUUCAUCUCUCUACCUGGAGAACUGAAGACACAGCCCUGGGAAGGUCACCAUCUGAGUUCAUGGUGAUGGUAUCUACCAGACAGGGGCUGUUGGGUAGAACCAGGGAAGAGGGGAGAGGACCCCAGGGUUCUGACUGUAUCCAGUCCCUGCAAGACCCUUGCUCUUAAAGGCUCCUUUGCUUCAGCUGGUUUAACAUGGAGCUACCAAGCCAUCCUGCCAGAGCCCCAGCUCACAGCCUUACUCUCUCCCACCAGCCAGCUCCCUUACUCUUCCUUUUCCGAGCGUGUCAUUCUUGCUUUUAGAACCCUCCCUGCCUGUAUCUAUUUACUUAGAUCCCACCCAUCCUUCAUCACAAGUCUCAUUACAUUGAAAAAGUGUCCUCAAACAUCCAGGCCUUCUAGUGAUUUCUUCCUUUCCCAAGCUUCUGCAACAUUAUUGUGUUCACGACUCCUGUGGCAUUCGUAUGGACUAAGCUUGUGGUGUGAGGUCUUUGUUUUGAUAGGUCUUUCUUUUGGCUGAAAGCACCUCAAGGAUAAGUCCCAGAGCUUCAAUUUCAGCAUCUCUAGUGUGGAGAGAGAGAGAGAGCGCAAGUGUGAGACAGAGAGAGAGAGCAAGAGCACAAGUGCAGAAACAUGCCAGUUACAAAGCACUUUCAAACAUCCCUUUUGCUCCGCCCCUUGCUGAGAAGGACGAUAUGCACCUUAUCUCCUUGUUCAAGACAGAAUGUCAGUCUGUGUAACCCCAGGGGUUCUUCCAAGCUGACGAGGCCAGCAAAGUCCAAAGAAAGCUUGGCCCUCAGAUUUUCUAAGUCCUGUGCUCCCUCCACUAUACCAAGGUAGUAGUAAGCAAACGCCACAUUUGUAGGGCCCGUAAUGAAUGUUAUAGGAGCUCAGAGGCAGAUGAUUCUGCGUGUGUGUGUGUGUGUGUGUGUGUGUAUGUGUGUGUGUGAGUAGUUAAUGAAGGCUCCCCGGCGAAGGUAGAAAUCAAGCUGCCUCUCGAAGGGUAGAGUGGAUGUGCAGAGGGUGGCUAGCACUGACAGAUGAGGUGAUUGUGAGCAAUGUGCCUGACCCAUGAGCACGGAGCAAGGCAGGUCCUGGGAAGCAGUGGGAAAUGCCGUGAGGGAGGCAGCAUGGAGCAAGGUUCUGGAUGGCCUUUGUGGGAGCCAUUGGAAUCUCUUCCCUUACAGAACAGGAGUUGGGAGGUGGUUCACUAGUAGGGCAGGCUUCCUCUUGCAAGAUUAUUCCUUGGCCAAGGAAGUGCCGUUACCUUGAAGUGAGGAGCAGCAUUAACAGGCAAAACUGGGGGCUGCCUCUGAGGACAAGGUGGGGUAAGUGGGGGAGUGGCGUUACUUGUGAGCCCUGCAGAUUUCCCCUGUAUCUUUCUUCCAGUAUUGUCCAACCAUGCCCUGCCUUGCAGUUAAGAAACCUGGUGGGGCUGUAAACUUGGCUAAUGUUUUUCAACAGCAUGAGGACUCAGACUCUUCAUUUGGGUUUCCAGCUCUCUUGGCUUUGCUCUCUGAAGGAUGAGAGUCAGCCUGGUUAUAGACGUCUCUAGGUUUCCAUCUUUUUUUUUUUUUUUUGUAAGGUUUUAUUCACCUAUUCAUGAGAGACACAGAGAGAAACAGAGACAGGCAGAGUUGGAGAAGCAGGCUCUCUGCGAGGAGCCUGAUGCAGGACUCAAUCCCAGGACUCCAAGAUCAUGACCUGAACCAAGGGCAGAUGCUCAACCACUGAGCCACCCAGGUGCCCCUCUAGGUUUCUAUCUUUGGCUUGAAUUGAGACUUUAAGGAUUUGAACUUGUUACUCUCUCUUCUAAAUUAUUCACUGCCAUUAAUAGUAGCCACCUAUCUAUGGCCUUGACUUUCUUUACCGAUCACACUUUAGGAUGGCAGGGAUGCAGUCUUCCAGAACUGGGCCUUCAGUGGGUGUGCCAGUCCACGUGUCUUUCAGGGAGCUAAUUCACUGCAUGCCACGGGCUGCUGGGUUCCCAUCUCAUAAUAUUAGCAGGACUUUCACUACUUCCUACCCUCUCUCUCUAAGACAGAUAACCAAUCACAGAUAGUCCCCAGUUCCCUACUUUUCUAGUUGGCAGUAUGCUCUCUUAGCACCAAAUUCCAUAUCAGUUAGGAAUUUUUCAGUGAGAAGUAAUGAAAACUGGGUCUGUUCUAAAGAGAAAGAAAAUGUUUUGAAAGCAUGUUGGGGACUCAUAGGAUCAUGGGAAGUUGGAGGAUUCGAUUUGGAAAAUGGAUAUGAACAAACGCCAAAAUCUGCAGAGCCGAUAAGCAGUAUGAUAACCGUUUGAUCAUUUUGAAGCAUUGCUGGGUGCUGCUGUGUAAGUUCCAUCGUGUUCAUCCCAUAUUCUUAGCACAGCUUGUGCGUGCUACCUAGGUGAGCGUAUCUGAUGGGCUAGCAUCAGGGCCCCACACCUUGGUGGGAGCAGAAGGGACACCUGCUUCUCUAAGUUACUGGGCAAUAAGGCACUCCAACACAAUAUUGGGUCCCCAAAAUGGGAGAAGAAUGGAUAUGCUGCAUUCUGGAGAGCUAAAAAGAAGAAAAGUAGAAUGGGUAGAUUUACAAAUAGGCUCUUGGGGGAGAAAAGAGUGAGCCAGAAUUCCACAUAAAUGUAGUGUUGUAGAUUUAUAAAUUCUGGGAACAUAGCCACACACUGAAUUCCAGAUACACCUUGGCAGCGUGAUGUAUUGGGGAUACUACUAUUUGAAUCUAGCUGGUCUGGCCUUCAAGGAGCCUAGGCUUGUGGGAAAACAAACAAACUCAAGAUUCUCUGUUACAUUCUUGAUGUUCUGAGUCUGAUAGUCAAAGGUCCUUCCUUGAUGAAGACAAUUGAUUGGACAGUUAGAAACAUGGAGAGACCCUUAAAUGUGUCUUUUUGGUCCCCGUUCUCUUCCUAAUGUCUAGAAGGUUUAAAAAGAAGAAAAUAAAAGUAUUAAUUAAUGAUCAUGGAAAGAUGAAAAGCAAUCAAUUUUCUUCAUGGCAAAUGUGGAUGACAGGAAAUGAAAGAGGGAAAAACAAUGUGAAUUAUGUAGAUUUGCAGCCAGCUGACAGAUGUGAGCUAACGGCUUGCCCGUUGA
This 3096-nucleotide long non-coding RNA is filed under the name Canis lupus familiaris (dog). RNAcentral describes it as "lncRNA (ENSCAFG00000057623.1, ENSCAFG00845002240.1)". The record is from RNAcentral. Lineage: Eukaryota; Metazoa; Chordata; Mammalia; Carnivora; Canidae.